CUCAUUAAAUCAGUUAUCGUUUAUUUGAUAGUACCUUACUACUUGGAUAACCGUGGUAAUUCUAGAGCUAAUACAUGCUAAAAACCCCGACUUCGGGAGGGGUGUAUUUAUUAGAUAAAAAACCAAUGCCCUUCGGGGCUCUUUGGUGAUUCAUGAUAACUUAACGGAUCGCAUGGCCUUGCGCCGGCGACGGUUCAUUCAAAUUUCUGCCCUAUCAACUUUCGAUGGUAAGGUAUUGGCUUACCAUGGUUUCAACGGGUAACGGGGAAUUAGGGUUCGAUUCCGGAGAGGGAGCCUGAGAAACGGCUACCACAUCCAAGGAAGGCAGCAGGCGCGCAAAUUACCCAAUCCCGACUCGGGGAGGUAGUGACAAUAAAUACUGAUACAGGGCUCUUUUGGGUCUUGUAAUCGGAAUGAGUACAAUUUAAACCCCUUAACGAGGAACAAUUGGAGGGCAAGUCUGGUGCCAGCAGCCGCGGUAAUUCCAGCUCCAAUAGCGUAUAUUAAAGUUGUUGCAGUUAAAAAGCUCGUAGUUGAACCUUGGGCCUGGCUGGCCGGUCCGCCUCACCGCGUGUACUGGUCCGGCCGGGCCUUUCCUUCUGGAGAGCCGCAUGCCCUUUACUGGGUGUGUCGGGGAACCAGGACUUUUACUUUGAAAAAAUUAGAGUGUUCAAAGCAGGCCUUUGCUCGAAUACGUUAGCAUGGAAUAAUAGAAUAGGAUGUGCGGUCCUAUUUUGUUGGUUUCUAGGACCGCCGUAAUGAUUAAUAGGGAUAGUCGGGGGCAUCAGUAUUCAAUUGUCAGAGGUGAAAUUCUUGGAUUUAUUGAAGACUAACUACUGCGAAAGCAUUUGCCAAGGAUGUUUUCAUUAAUCAGUGAACGAAAGUUAGGGGAUCGAAGACGAUCAGAUACCGUCGUAGUCUUAACCGUAAACUAUGCCGACUAGGGAUCGGGCGAUGUUUCUAUCUUGACUCGCUCGG
This 978-nucleotide ribosomal RNA is filed under the name Aquasubmersa japonica. Its description in RNAcentral is "SSU rRNA". It matches the Rfam family "Eukaryotic small subunit ribosomal RNA", at positions 97 to 1083 of the family's 1831-position model. The record is from RNAcentral. Lineage: Eukaryota; Fungi; Ascomycota; Dothideomycetes; Pleosporales.